UCUCUAUCGAUUUUCUCCUUUUGCCUUUCAGAUUGAUUACACAGUACCUACCGUUAUAGCAGAGGAAAUGAGUUAUAUGUAUGAUUUCUGUACUCUGCUAUCCAUCAAAGUGCAUAACAUAGUACUCAUGAUGCAAGUUACUGUGACGACAACAUACUUUGGCCACUCUGAACAGAUAUCCCAGGAGAGGUAUCAGUAUGUCGACUGUGGAAGAAACACAACUUAUCAGUUGGGGCAGUCUGAAUAUUUAAAUGUACUUCAGCCACAACAGUAAAAACUGGAAGAGAUGGAUUUAAAGAAGAUAUAUCUGUUGAUAUUUCCUAUACUCUCAAUGAAGAGGUAUUUCUUAAUAGGAGACCUUAAAUUGAACAAACCUAAAGUUUACACUUCUAAGAGUACAGUUAAAAGUAUGUGGACCUGCAGUUCUUGUAACUCUCCACUCUGUGUUAAUGAUAUAUUUGUACUAGGAUCUUUUACUUGAAUCUAAAUUUACUGGUUGAUUUCCUUCUCCAGCCUUUCCCCUACAGGGAAAAGCUGAUACUUCCCCUAUAGUACAAUAAAUAAUUAUUAAAAGUCAUAGCUCCAGUCACUACUGAAAACAUAAUUUUGGUGAUAAACAUAAUUUGAGAAACUUAAUUUCUGAAUGUUUUUAUAGAAAAUUACUGAAAGUCUAUUAUUCAUGGAAGACUUUUAAAGAA
This 698-nucleotide small RNA is filed under the name Pongo abelii (Sumatran orangutan). RNAcentral describes it as "retained intron". The record is from RNAcentral. Lineage: Eukaryota; Metazoa; Chordata; Mammalia; Primates; Hominidae.